UGAGAGUGACUUUUUAAGAAUUUCUUUUU
RNAcentral lists this non-coding RNA (29 nucleotides) under Rattus norvegicus (Norway rat). Lineage: Eukaryota; Metazoa; Chordata; Mammalia; Rodentia; Muridae. The record is from RNAcentral.